This is a long non-coding RNA of Microtus oregoni (creeping vole), 149 nucleotides long. RefSeq lists it as uncharacterized. The record is from RefSeq and is a predicted model, not a curated record. Lineage: Eukaryota; Metazoa; Chordata; Mammalia; Rodentia; Cricetidae. The transcript is spliced from 3 exons.
GGCAUCUUGACUGUGCUUGUUCCUUUCUCCGUGCUUCAGGACAACCUUGCUAUAUAACAUCAGCUAGUCUUGAACUGGGUGAAGUUCUUCUAUAUCAGCCCCUAGAGUCCCUGGUUGAUAUGAUGCUCCGCUCAUGAUGUCUGGCAGAU